GCGCUGAAGUGCUUUUCGGUGUCUUGUUUGUUUUUCCAGAUUUUUAUCCCUAUUAGUGCUUUAUCCACCUAAGUCCGUUAAGUUGAGCCUCUGCUCCUUCGGCCGUGUCGAUUUUGUGCUUGAGGUGAUCGAAAUCUUGUGAAUUUUGUGCUUGAGAUAGGACUCGUUGACCCGUUUUGUGAUAAUUAAUAUUUAUCAUGUCUAAUAGAAAGUGUUGUGUUCCCGGAUGUACAAAUGGCUUAGACACUACGGGGUAUUUACAUAAAUUCCCUAAUCCAGAUAAGGAUAGGCAGCUAUUUAAUACAUGGGUCUUUCAUAUUGGUGGUGACAUUUUGCAACUUGAAAAUAACCAUAUUUUCAAAUACCGCCGCGUCUGUAAUGAUCAUUUCGAACCAAAAUAUUGGUGCCGGAAUAACCGACUUGCCAAAGGAGCUGUACCUACAAAAAACAUGCCAGGAUUAUCUUGCUCGAAAUUCAGCAUUGAAAAAAGAGCACUAAGACCUCUUCAGAUUUCAGGACCGUCUACAUCAAAAGGUAUAUUUUAUCAUAUACAUAUAAACAAGCAAUUCAUUUUUAUACAUACAUACAUACAUUUACAUUACGUAUGUACUAGCUUCCACUUGCGGCUUCGUCCGCAUGGUGUAUUGAUAAAAAGUGGCCUAUGUCUUAAUCCAGGGUAUCACCUAUCUACAUACCAAAUUUCAACCAAAUCGGUCCAGCCAUUUUUGAGUGAAGUUAUUUCAAAGAUCAUUUAUUCCUACAAAUUAGGCUGAAAUUGAGUAUAUAUAGCUAAUAAAAAAUGGCUUUGCAGUCCCAGCGACUCUCUCUUAAAUUGUGUUUCGAAUCUGCAGGAUAUAAAUUACACAAUAAUUAAAAAAUGUUUGGAAAAAAAAUAUUUAAAAGAUUUCAUCAAAACAUUAAUAUUUAUACAUUUGAAAUUCGAUUUCAUAAAAUGUGAAAUUCAUAAAGAAAAAUUAAUAGACUUUUUAAUCAAUAUAUCCUGCAGAUUCUUUAUUUACAAUUACUGUAAAGAUAUUAAUAAAAUAUUAAUAAAUAGGAGAGAGUGUGAUGAUGAUACGGAUUCCUAUAAGCUAAAAGCGAAAAAAUUAUACAUGAAAUGUUUUAAAAGAAAAAAAUAAAUUAUAUUAAAGGUUA
Long non-coding RNA from Helicoverpa zea (corn earworm), 1155 nucleotides. RefSeq lists it as uncharacterized. Lineage: Eukaryota; Metazoa; Arthropoda; Insecta; Lepidoptera; Noctuidae. The record is from RefSeq and is a predicted model, not a curated record. The transcript has 3 exons.